GACGAACGCUGGCGGCGUGCCUAAUACAUGCAAGUCGAGCGCAGGAAGCCGUUCCGAACCCUUCGGGGGGACGACGGUGGAAUGAGCGGCGGACGGGUGAGUAACACGUAAAGAACCUGCCCAUAGGUCUGGGAUAACCACGAGAAAUCGGGGCUAAUACCGGAUGUGUCAUCGGACCGCAUGGUCCGCUGAUGAAAGGCGCUCCGGCGUCGCCCAUGGAUGGCUUUGCGGUGCAUUAGCUAGUUGGUGGGGUAACGGACCACCAAGGCGACGAUGCAGAGCCGGCCUGAGAGGGUGAUCGGCCACACUGGGACUGAGACACGGCCCAGACUCCUACGGGAGGCAGCAGUAGGGAAUCUUCCACAAUGGACGAAAGUCUGAUGGAGCAACGCCGCGUGAACGAUGAAGGCUUUCGGGUCGUAAAGUUCUGUUGUAAGGGAAGAACAAGUGCCGCAGGCAAUGGCGGCACCUUGACGGUACCUUGCGAGAAAGCCACGGCUAACUACGUGCCAGCCGCCGCCGUAA
RNAcentral lists this ribosomal RNA (525 nucleotides) under uncultured bacterium. RNAcentral describes it as "partial 16S ribosomal RNA". It matches the Rfam family "Bacterial small subunit ribosomal RNA", at positions 28 to 523 of the family's 1533-position model. The record is from RNAcentral.